GCCUUAUCAUUCGUCUGCCUCUCGUUUCUAUGUCAGGUUGUCAGAGUUUUGAGUUCUUCUAAAUCACCGGCAUUUACGUUUCUUUCUGUGAUUUUGUUCCGUUUUCUGUCUAACAGAGCUCAGCUAUCUGAGAUACUCUGCAUUCUCGUCAGCUUUAUUCCACUGUGAGAUUCUGUUCUAUGGUCUAUAAGCUUGCAAGCAACUUAUGUUCUGUCCUUGCUUUAUUACUAGUCUUAUUAUAUCUAUUAUGUUACAUGUUCUUAUAGUAUCUUUGCCUCUUUCAGGCACCAUCGUUAUUUUUCAUAGUCAUACUACCAUUCUGGCAGGCAAAUCUUUACUCGCAAUACAUUGAAGAGAAAACCCA
Molecule: long non-coding RNA, 364 nt
Organism: Daphnia pulicaria
Lineage: Eukaryota; Metazoa; Arthropoda; Branchiopoda; Diplostraca; Daphniidae
Exons: 2
Source: RefSeq, a predicted model, not a curated record